ACACUUGCAGAGGAGAAAUGAUGAUGCAGGGGCCUGCUCCGAGAUGCAGGAGGAAGUUUAAUUGCCUGUGAAUUUCACUGGGAAGGAAGGGAUGAAACGAGGUUUGAAAGGAAAUAGAGAUUGUUAAACUCCUGACUAGGCGAUAACUGCCGUCCUUCUCUUCUAUCUGCCCCUGUGACUAGGCGGUAACUGCCGUCCUUCUCUAAUAUCUGCCCCUGUGACCAGGCGAUAACUGCCGUCCUUCUCUAAUAUCUGCCCCUGUGACUAGGCGAUAACUGCCGUCCUUCUCUAAUAUCUGCCCCUGUGACUAGGCGAUAACUGCCAUCCUUCUCUUCCAUCUGCCCCUGUGACUAGGCGAUAACUGCCGUCCUUCUCUGCUGUCUGCCCCUACCUUGGGCCCCAAAUGGCUCAGCACUAAAGUGCCUUGAGCAGGCUCCAGCCCAAAGGUGGCCUCCAUGGUUACCACUUCCCACUCUGCUGCCCUGCCUCGCUUUCCUCCUCGGCCUUCCCGGAUGGAUGACCGAUGUCAUUCCCAGGUUCCCUAACACUCAAGCCUAGCCCCUCAGUUUCUAGCAAGCAUCAAGCUUCACUGUGUGUCUAGCCUCUCAGGAGUCAGACCUGAGAAGUAUAGCUUGGUGGAAAUUCAGUGGCAGGGAAGAAAGAAGGAAGGAAAGAAGACUCUGAGCUGGAUUCAUACACAUCAUCGCAAUUCAUCCACACCACAGUCCUGUAAGAAGGCUGCAAAACAUACAGCAGAAAGGAUGGCUUGAAGGCAAUUGAUGUUUGUAAAAAAAUCCACAACAGGAUCCAAGCUGAAGAGGUGAACACGUCAGCCUGGUGGGACAAUUCUCAGCAUGUGCAAACAUAGGUAAAUUCUAGCCUAUGUUACAUUAAAAACAAUGUCAGUGCAUUUUUUCAUGUUAAAGUUUUUUUCAAAGCUAAAGUGUGUUCCUUGUUGUGCUGACCACAAACGAGUUUUAA
RNAcentral lists this long non-coding RNA (981 nucleotides) under Homo sapiens (human). RNAcentral's name for it is "non-protein coding LINC01596:3". The record is from RNAcentral. Lineage: Eukaryota; Metazoa; Chordata; Mammalia; Primates; Hominidae.